AUUGAACGCUGGCGGCAGGCUUAACACAUGCAAGUCGAGCGGGGGAAGAUAGCUUGCUACUGGACCUAGCGGCGGACGGGUGAGUAAUGCUUAGGAAUCUGCCUACUAGUGGGGGACAACAUCUCGAAAGGGAUGCUAAUACCGCAUACGUCCUACGGGAGAAAGCAGGGGAUCUUCGGACCUUGCGCUAAUAGAUGAGCCUAAGUCGGAUUAGCUAGUUGGUGGGGUAAAGGCCUACCAAGGCGACGAUCUGUAGCGGGUCUGAGAGGAUGAUCCGCCACACUGGGGCUGAGACACGGCCCAGCCUCCUACGGGAGGCAGAAGUGGGGAAUAUUGGACAAUGGGGGGAACCCUGAUCCAGCCAUGCCGCGUGUGUGAAGAAGGCCUUAUGGUUGUAAAGCACUUUAAGCGAGGAGGAGGCUACUCUAGUUAAUACCUAGGGAUAGUGGACGUUACUCGCAGAAUAAGCACCGGCUAACUCUGUGCCAGCCGCCGCGGUAA
This 501-nucleotide ribosomal RNA is filed under the name uncultured bacterium. RNAcentral describes it as "partial 16S ribosomal RNA". It matches the Rfam family "Bacterial small subunit ribosomal RNA", at positions 30 to 523 of the family's 1533-position model. The record is from RNAcentral.